AUUCUCUAAGCUCUCUCUCUCUUGUAGGGUAGAAUAAAUUGCUCUCCAAAGUUGAUUUAAUAACCCACUUAAGGUGGACUUAAGUAGGCUUUGAGAGAAAUUUAUUUCCCUUUCCUAGAAGGAUCUAAUUUCCUAUUAAAGAGGGAAUCAACAUUAAAAUAUGAAACAAUCCUAUGUUUCCUUAAGCAAGAAGAUCUCUACACCUGCUGCCCUUUCCUGUGAGCAGCCCAACAGGUGUAGGGGCAUUUGUGGAGCCUAAAAUAAUCACAAGACGACACGUGGAUCUUUGUAUGAAAAUGACAAGAAUACCCUUGAGGCACAUCAGAGUUCCUAUGCGUGAGCAGCGGGCAAUCAUUUUUCAACCAAGUCAAAAGUGUCCAAAAUAGGUAACAAUUCAAAACCUAUUUCAUCCAUCCUCAUCAAAUUCUUUCUCCAAGGUAAUGCCCAAAACGUUCCUUUUAAAUUAUGUUAAUUGGCUAAUUAAUAGAUUUAUUACCUAAUUAAUCUAUUAAUAGCCAAUUAAACCACCAAUUACUCCCAAAAAACACACAUAAGGCCGGUCACCUUCUCUCCCAAGGGGGCUAGCCAUUCCUUAUAAUUUCUACCUCAUUUUACCCUUUUAUUAGCUAAUCAAUUAGGCAAAUAUUUUAUUAAUUGACUAAUUGAUUAGCUAAUUAUUCCAUAACUCCCAAUUUAAAAACAAAUCAAGAACCUAGCCCACAAAGGGAGCUAGGGGGCUGGGGGACUGGUCCUCUCUCACCCAAAGAGGUCGGCCACUCUCCUAUUUAAACCCCUUCAUUCUCCUCAAAGUUCACUUCCAACUCUCUUGCUAAAAUUCUCUAAAAAUUCUCAAUCACUUUCUCUCUAAAUUUGAACUUUGGCAUCGGAGGUUCUUCGGCCAAAGCCCCCCCCCCCCCCCAAUUCAUCAUGGGUGUGUGAGGCUCUUGGCUUUGACCAAAUGUGUUAAUUGUUUUGUAGGUGCAAUUUUGUCCAAGAUCAAGGAGGAAGAAAUUUGCAUUCACAACAACUCCCUUGAAGGCCUCCUAUAUAUGUAUACAUAUGUGUGUGUGUGUGUGAAAAUCAAUAGAUGGAGACAAUGAGGAGAUGAGUGAGAGUAGUACCUGAUGAUGAUUGAGAGUAGGUGAGACGGUGGAGGUGGUGAUGGUAGGAGCAACAGAGCAACCAAAGAGGAAGAUUUAGAUGUGGUUCUUCUUCCUCUCCCUUCACUUAUUUUUCUCUCUCAAAUUCAGACGAAAAUGAGUGGCACAUGCUCAAAUGAAACAGCAAGACACCAAAGAUUGGAAGAUUGAAUUGAAGUCAGUGGACCCAAGCUUUUCAUGCAUCAGGGAGUUUGGGCCAGGGUGAGUCUGAGGUAGCAGUAGAGACGGUAUCUGAAUGUUCGUCGACAAGACAACGAUCUCUCCUCUCCUCUCCUUCUUGGGAAGGAGAUCGUUGUCGUUGUGUCAGGAAGAAAUAAGGGAGA
This 1483-nucleotide long non-coding RNA is filed under the name Malus domestica (apple). RNAcentral's name for it is "long non-coding RNA (MDOM_LNC014917)". The record is from RNAcentral. Lineage: Eukaryota; Viridiplantae; Streptophyta; Magnoliopsida; Rosales; Rosaceae.